This 569-nucleotide long non-coding RNA is filed under the name Apteryx rowi (Okarito brown kiwi). RNAcentral describes it as "lncRNA (ENSARWG00000007907.1)". Lineage: Eukaryota; Metazoa; Chordata; Aves; Apterygiformes; Apterygidae. The record is from RNAcentral.
GUUUGGCAGCUUGCUGCUGUUUACAGUAUCUUCCUUCCCUCCAGCUGAUCAUGGUACCUGCUGGGAGUCUCUAGGGACAAAGGAAUCCCAAAACAAAACAAAAAGUGGCUACCACUUAAAGGAAGUUGAGGCCUGAAUUAUAUUAUCGUUUCAUUUGACACAGCUCUUUGCUCUCCCAAUCCAUAAUUGAAGCUGUGUUGGAUCAACAGUCAAUAAAAGCACCUGCAUUCUUGGAGACUGCAAAGGACAAGACUACAACUUACUGAUGUGUUCAGAGGGCUGCAAUCUUACGAAUUCUGUUUCCUGCUGACAUGAAGAAUGGGACAGAAGAGAAGAGCAGAGUAGCAGUACAAUAUGCCAUGACGGUAUCAAACCUCUGUGCCCUGGAUGGCACAAGUCCUGUAUAUUGGAAAUCUGGAUUUUAUUGGUCCACAUACCUUGUAAUUCUUACAUGACCUCAUCUAAGUUUCUUGAAGUUAACUCAAUCUACAGAUUAAACAGCACUUUGCAGUUCACCUGGAAACUCACUAAUGCUGGUUCAAGACAAUAAACAUAACGUACCCUCAGCA